GUGGAGCAUGUGGCUUAAUUUGACUCACGCGGGGAAUCUUACUAGGUCCGGACCGAUUCUAUGAUCGUCGUACUGUGGGGUGCUACGUGAUUACUGGAUGAGUGGUGCAUGGCCGUUCUUAGUUCGUGGUGUUAAUUGUCUACUUAAUUGUUAUCGGUUCUCGUAUCAUGCGAGACCUAAUAACGAACGAGAUCGAGACCCGUGGUUGCGUGUGUUUGAAUUCGGUAUUACUACGGGGAUCGCGUAUUACUCCACGGUACGAUCGAAAGACUCGGCAAUAACAGGUCUGUGAUGCCCUCAGAUGUUCUAGGCUGCACACGUGCUACAGUGUGGUUCUGUUCAUAUGUGUAUGCGUAGACUUGAGAUCCCCCGCACCGAGUCAUAAUUGGUCACACGGUUGGACUCACCGAUUGUCAAUUAUUCGGUAUCUUAA
Molecule: ribosomal RNA, 433 nt
Filed under: Amphistegina lobifera
Lineage: Eukaryota; Foraminifera; Rotaliida; Amphisteginidae
Description: SSU rRNA
Rfam family: Eukaryotic small subunit ribosomal RNA
Source: RNAcentral